This 1549-nucleotide ribosomal RNA is filed under the name uncultured bacterium. RNAcentral describes it as "bacterial SSU rRNA". It matches the Rfam family "Bacterial small subunit ribosomal RNA". The record is from RNAcentral.
GUUUGAUCCUGGCUCAAAACCAACGCUGGCGGCAUGGCUAAGACGUGCAAGUCGUACGGACGGUUUUCUGCUUGCAUUAAGCGGUUAAUGGCGAAUGGGAGAGUAAUGCAGGGGUAACGUACCCCGGACUCAGGGAUAACAGCGGGAGCAAUCCCUUUAACGAAAGUGCUGCUAAUACCUGACGACGUCUUCAAAUCGCCAGAUUUGACGACCGAAGGUGGGGAUCUUCGGACCUGCCCAUCUGGGAGCGGCCCAUGUUCUAUGACCUUGUUGGUGGGGUAACGGCCCACCAAGGCUACGACGGAUAACGAGCGUGAGGGCUUGGCCCGCCUCAUCGGGACUGAGACACUGCCCGGACACCUACAGGUGGCUGCUUUAACGAAUAUUGGGCAAUGGACGCAAGCCUGACCCACCAAUGCCACGUGCAGGACGAAGCCCCUCGGGGUGUAAACUGCUGUCAGGGUUCGUCAAGCUGCGAGGUUUAAUAGCCCUCCGCGUUGAGCAGACCCAAAGGAAGCCUCGGCUAACUCUGUGCCAGCACCCGCGGUAAGACAGAGGACGCAAGCGUUGUUCGCAAUUAUUGGGCUUAAAGCGUGUGUAGGCGGCUUGACAAGUGUUCUGUGAWMKCCCCCGGCUCAACCGGGKAACUGCAGGGCAAACUGCCUGRCUUGAYGUCGGUAGAGGUGCCUGGAACUCUCGGUGGAGCGGUGAAAUGCGUAKAUAUCGAGAGGGAAUGCCAGUGGCGAWAGCUGGGGCACUGGRCMAGAUUCUGACGCUGAGACCYAGACAWGCGUGSKGAGCAAACAGGAUUAGAUACCGUGGUAGUCACGCYGUWAACGAUGCACWUCUAGGUGGCAGCGUUCUSUGACGUUCGAGYGAGCCGAMGCAAAASUGAUAAGUKUGCCGYCUGKGGAGURCGKYUCGCAWGGHUAAAACUCAAAGGAAUUGACGKGGGCUCACACAAGCGGUGGAGCAUGUGGCUUAAUUUGAAGCAACGAGAAGAACGUUAUCCAGGUUUGACAUGCUAGGAUGCAAUCCCGGGAUAACCGGGAGCGAUUCCGUUCGGGGUGAAACUUGCACAGGUGUUGCACGGCGGUGGUCAGAUCGUGCUGUGAAGUGUUUGGUUAAGUCCCUUCACGAUCGAAACCCCCGUCGUCAGUUGCCAGCGCGUAAUGGCGGGGAAUUCGGCGAGCAUGCCGGCGUUAAGCCGGAGGACGGUGGGGAUGAUUUCACGUCAUUGCGUCCCUUAUGCGUGGGGAUGCACACUCGGUACAAUGGCUGGAACAGAGGGAGGCAAUGCCGCGAGGCGGAGCAAAUCCCAAAAACCCAGCCCCAGUUCGCAUUGUAGUCUGAAAUUGGCCCGCAUGAAGUCGGAAUCUCUUGUAAUCGUGUAUCAGCUACGACGCGGUCAAUGUGUUCCUGAGCCUUGUACACACCGCCCGUCAAGUCACCGAAGCUGGUAGUACCCUAAGUCCGUUCAUCUAACCCUCGGGAAGCGGCGGCCGACGGUAAGACUGGUAACAGGGAUUAAGUCGUAACAAGGUAGCCC